RNAcentral lists this ribosomal RNA (230 nucleotides) under uncultured bacterium. RNAcentral's name for it is "partial 16S ribosomal RNA". It matches the Rfam family "Bacterial small subunit ribosomal RNA", at positions 99 to 334 of the family's 1533-position model. The record is from RNAcentral.
CGGACGGGUGAGGAACACGUGGGUCAUCUACCUUGAGGUGAGGAAUACCGGCGAGAAAUCGCCGACAAUACCGCAUACCUUUCUUGCAAGAGAAAGAAAGCUUCUUCGGAGGCGCCACAAGAUGAGCCUGCGGCCGAUUAGUUUGUUGGUGGGGUAACGGCCUACCAAGGCGACGAUCGGUAGCUGGUCUGAGAGGACGAUCAGCCACACUGGGAUUGAGAACGGCCCAG